CCCAAGGGCUGGGCGGUUCGCCCAUAAACGCGGUACUCGAGCUGGGUUCAGAACGUCGUGAGACAGUUCGGUCCCUAUCCGUCGUGGGCGUAGGAAAUUUGAGAGGAGCUGUCCUUAGUACGAGAGGACCGGGAUGGACAUACCUCUGGUGUACCAGUUGUCGAGCCAACGGCAUAGCUGGGUAGCUAUGUAUGGACGGGAUAAGUGCUGAAAGCAUCUAAGCAUGAAGCCCCCCUCAGGAUGAGAUUU
Molecule: ribosomal RNA, 249 nt
Filed under: Escherichia coli
Lineage: Bacteria; Pseudomonadati; Pseudomonadota; Gammaproteobacteria; Enterobacterales; Enterobacteriaceae
Description: partial 23S ribosomal RNA
Rfam family: Bacterial large subunit ribosomal RNA
Source: RNAcentral